UUGAGUCAGAAAGAACACCAAACACCACAUCAGUCCAGUUAGAUGCACCUGAUUGGUGCAUGGAUAGGAUAGCCACCUUUGCAUUUGGCACACCUAUUUCAUCAGUGAUAUCAUACUCUAAUCUUCCAAUGUGUGGAAUAAGCUGCGAAACUGGCUGUUGCAGUCUAAAGUAUGCUUGCACUGUGGCACUUAGCUUAAUUGUAGCUUUGGCAUCAAAGCCAUCCAACUUUGCCGUACGGA
RNAcentral lists this unclassified non-coding RNA (240 nucleotides) under Hevea brasiliensis (rubber tree). The record is from RNAcentral. Lineage: Eukaryota; Viridiplantae; Streptophyta; Magnoliopsida; Malpighiales; Euphorbiaceae.